RNAcentral lists this RNase MRP RNA (468 nucleotides) under Emergomyces pasteurianus Ep9510. RNAcentral's name for it is "Emergomyces pasteuriana Ep9510 RNase MRP". It matches the Rfam family "RNase MRP". From Rfam's summary of the family: RNase MRP is an enzymatically active ribonucleoprotein with two distinct roles in eukaryotes. The record is from Rfam by way of RNAcentral. Lineage: Eukaryota; Fungi; Ascomycota; Eurotiomycetes; Onygenales; Ajellomycetaceae.
UCCUCGCUCAAAGAAUCGCAUUCAAAGCUUACGAACAGGAGAAAAGCCAGUAACCCUUCAAAGGUUAUUUCUUUUCUUCAAACCAUCACUUCUAGCUUUGGGAGAAAGUCCCCGGACAACCUGCGCCCUCGCCGUAAAACCGCGAGGGUUCCUAUGUUUUUAAAUAAAACAAGCCAGGCAAUGCGGAAACGCGCCGCCAUAGAAGCAUUUUUCAUUGCGGCUUAAGCCUUUUCCCUUCCUUGUUCUUCUCUUUUCUUUUAGAGAGGAGAGAGGGCUCGUCUCCUCUAACCCGACUCUGCUCUUCGUGUGCUGGAGGAAACAAUGGUGGUUAGAUGAGGCGGGGAUUUUUUCGAGGGAUAGGUUGCCCUUCGUCGUGGUUCGACAGUCAUGCGAUUGCUUUUGUUUUCACAUGUAUUUUAUUAUAUGUGUGAACCAAGUAACUCGAUGGGGCUUAUUCUUGAGGCGAGG